UUCUUUGGUCUCCUCAAUUAGCCCUAUCUACUCUUCCCAGCUUCCAGCUGACCACAGUCUGCUUCCCCACUGCAGCGUUCCUUCUAGAAGUCUGCAAGCUCCUGAGCACCAUAGGAACAAAGCCCCAUGGACUUUUCUACAAGCUGCAUCUAAUAUUUGGGGUAAGAGACCCUGGUUUCUGUGAUGCCUCCAUGCAGCGAGCCUGAAAUUCUGGAACAGAUUCAGUAUCUCCUCUUUGCAGCCUGGAGUGAAACCAGCGGAAGAAAAUGAAUGCUCCUUUAUUUCAGUGUAUGAAAUUAAAUGUCUCCGGAGAAACAGAAAAUAUGAUUAGGGGUCAACUUGUUGGUUCAAGUGCUAUGACUCUGAGCCUUUUGUGUUUGAUUCAGAGCCAAUGGAAGUGAGCUGGAGUCCAUAUCGUGCCACUCCAUCACCAUUGUCAAUAACUGGCACUCUUCUUGUCAUUCUCAAUAGACAAGGAUUGGCUAGAACUGCCCUCUCAUCUAUGCAGCCUGUGAGCUCCUUCGAGUAGAGACCCUCCUUCUUGAAUGCUCAGAAAGCAUUGAGCGCAGAGGGAUGAUAUAAUAAAUGAUCAUCACCAUCAUCAUGGCAGAUCCCAAAGAGGCAUCCCCUCCUUGUGUAUUGAGUUCCAUGCAGCUCAAUCUGCGGGAUCCCGGAAUGGCCCUUUCACAAGGCUUUGUUGGUCAUUUUCGCCUCCGUGGCCAUUUGGGCCACAAGGACACAGGUGGUCAACUUCACUAUAAACCCCCUCAUGAUGUGAAGGUACAGACCCUGGAGGGUGCUAUAAUAAAUAAAUGAUAGUCGUCAUUUUUUUUUUUUUUUGGAUGCUGAACGUUUGGUAUGUUGUCUUUUUAGUUUCCCAUCUUUCUUGUACAGGAACAUAAUGGCUAUGGGUGAGAUUCUGUGCUGCAGCUCUCAGAGGCCCAUAACAGAGCUCUUAGCUCGGAGGAGGGGCCCCUCUGGGGCCUCCAACUUAAUUUGGAAAGCUCUGGGGGGCUGUCUAAAUUACAUCAGGCUCCUGGGCUACAGUGCUGCUCAGAAUAUCUGUAGCAUCCUAUGCUGCAACCUUGACCUGACACGCCCUUCCCACUCCCUGCCCUAUCUCUCUGCCUCCUACACUAGAGUCAGUGAGGGCGGGUAAUUAGAGGGCAGCCUUACAGCUGUCAACCAGAGAGCCUGCAGCAGGGGAAUCCUCCCCUGCCUGAAUAUGAGGCUUUUAAGGCCCCUUUCUGCCAUGCCAGUCUCUUUAUCUGAUGUAAAGGAGCUGGAGUGGGAAGGAAAGUGGGGGUGAUCUCAUCUAUGUAUACAGAUAUACGCUGUGUGGACAGAUGGACAUGUGCAAUCGAUAUGAAAUGUGUGUCAUUUUAAAUGGUGUUUAAACCCCAUUAAAAUGUGGGAAAAUAAA
Molecule: non-coding RNA, 1423 nt
Organism: Caretta caretta (loggerhead turtle)
Lineage: Eukaryota; Metazoa; Chordata; Testudines; Cheloniidae
Source: RefSeq, a predicted model, not a curated record